RNAcentral lists this long non-coding RNA (473 nucleotides) under Brassica napus (rape). RNAcentral's name for it is "long non-coding RNA (BNAP_LNC008011)". The record is from RNAcentral. Lineage: Eukaryota; Viridiplantae; Streptophyta; Magnoliopsida; Brassicales; Brassicaceae.
UCACAAAUAAUCGAAAAGUACGGAACUUUAUCGAGUUAUCUAAGACACACUUUGUACGUCUUUGUGUAUCAAGCAUGCGCCAAAUACACUUGAAAUUUUUGGAUUGACUAUAUGUUAGAUAAUAAGUGUAGACGUUUUUGUAAAUCUACAAAUAUAGACUGCAGUUGAAGUCUACGUCGUAAAUUCUAUUAAAAGUACAUUUGUGUAUUAUUCAUCAUAUUUUUUCAUGAUUUAAUUAUUUUACAGUGUAUGUUAGUAAAAUUUUAAUGGUCUUGGAUGAAUUUCACAAGUUAAUGUGUUAUAAUUUUACACUUGACACUUAUUGCAAAUUGUUUUGAUUAGUUUUACUCUUGAAACUUUUUGAGAAAAUUUUGUAUAGAUUUUCUUCUUCUCACAUGUGUGUUAGUUAUUAUUUUAGCUUAUGGUGGUUUUACUUGUUUGGUUGGUUAGAUCUUGUGAAAAAAUUGAUAUCA